UGAUAUGGAUUUAUAAGGUGUAUGUGGGUAUCAAUUCCACCAGCUGUUAAGAUUAACCCCUCAGCACUAAUUACUUCUGUGCUAACUCCAACAAUAAAAUCAACAUCAUCCAUUGUGCUAUCGUUUCCACCAUUUCCAAUAUAGGCAAUUUUGCCAUCUUUUAUGCCAAUAUCAGCUUUAUAAAUUCCUGUAUAAUCGAUUAUUAAAGCAUUUGUGAUAAUUAAAUCCACAACUUUUGGCUCCCCACGAAGCAAAAUAGCGUUUUGUCCCAUACCAUCUCUUAG
Small RNA from Campylobacter ureolyticus ACS-301-V-Sch3b, 284 nucleotides. It matches the Rfam family "5' ureB small RNA". The record is from Rfam. Lineage: Bacteria; Pseudomonadati; Campylobacterota; Epsilonproteobacteria; Campylobacterales; Campylobacteraceae.